GAUGAACGCUGACAGAAUGCUUAACACAUGCAAGUCUACUUGAUCCUUCGGGUGAUGGUGGCGGACGGGUGAGUAACGCGUAAAGAACUUGCCUUGCAGUCUGGGACAACGUCUGGAAACGGACGCUAAUACCGGAUAUUAUGAUUGAAUCGCAUGAUUUGAUUAUGAAAGCUAUAUGCGCUGCGAGAGAGCUUUGCGUCCCAUUAGUUAGUUGGUGAGGUAACGGCUCACCAAGACGAUGAUGGGUAGCCGGCCUGAGAGGGUGAACGGCCACAAGGGGACUGAGACACGGCCCUUACUCCUACGGGAGGCAGCAGUGGGGAAUAUUGGACAAUGGACCAAAAGUCUGAUCCAGCAAUUCUGUGUGCACGAUGAAGUUUUUCGGAAUGUAAAGUGCUUUCAGUUGGGAAGAAGAAAGUGACGGUACCAACAGAAGAAGCGACGGCUAAAUACGUGCCAGCAGCCGCGGUAAUACGUAUGUCGCAAGCGUUAUCCGGAUUUAUUGGGCGUAAAGCGCGUCUAGGCGGUUUGGUAAGUCUGAUGUGAAAAUGCGGGGCUCAACUCCGUAUUGCGUUGGAAACUGCCAAACUAGAGUACUGGAGAGGUGGGCGGAACUACAAGUGUAGAGGUGAAAUUCGUAGAUAUUUGUAGGAAUGCCGAUGGGGAAGCCAGCCUACUGGACAGAUACUGACGCUAAAGCGCGAAAGCGUGGGUAGCAAACAGG
This 724-nucleotide ribosomal RNA is filed under the name uncultured bacterium. RNAcentral's name for it is "bacterial SSU rRNA". It matches the Rfam family "Bacterial small subunit ribosomal RNA", at positions 28 to 776 of the family's 1533-position model. The record is from RNAcentral.